GAGCUGCGCCAGCGAGUGCUUGCAGUACUCGUACGUGGCGAAGAAGCAGGCGUGCGCCGGGCCCGCGCCCAUCACCACCGCCGACAUGCCGCGGAUGGGCCUGCACAUAAUGUCGCUAGUUACUACACAUUGCACAUACAUCAUCACUGUGACUCAUGGGACCAAAAUGGACCAACAAAAGUGGAGAUGGAGCACACGAGUACACGAUGAGGUCCAACUAUUUCUAUAACAGUUCCUUGGGGGUACCCAAGAAAUAGGGGGGAGAUGGGAGGACGAGGUUCAGCUCACAGCCGGCCUUCAUUGGAGGAGAGUGGCUCGUAGGCUUAAGGAUUAGGGAAGGGUCUUAGGGAUAUGCCGUAACUGGCAUUGCACCGUGGGGGCUCCUGGACAGGUCAUUUUAAUAAAUUAUUUUAAAUUUUACGCAUUAUGCUAUUUACAACACUACCCUACUUCAGAUAAAACU
Long non-coding RNA from Spodoptera frugiperda (fall armyworm), 463 nucleotides. RefSeq lists it as uncharacterized. The record is from RefSeq and is a predicted model, not a curated record. The transcript has 2 exons. Lineage: Eukaryota; Metazoa; Arthropoda; Insecta; Lepidoptera; Noctuidae.